Molecule: ribosomal RNA, 198 nt
Filed under: uncultured bacterium
Lineage: Bacteria
Description: partial 16S ribosomal RNA
Rfam family: Bacterial small subunit ribosomal RNA
Source: RNAcentral
ACGCUCGACACCUACGGGGGCAGCAGUCGGGAAUAUUGCGCAAUGGAGGAAACUCUGACGCAGUGACGCCGCGUGCAGGAAGAAGGUUUUCGGAUUGUAAACUGCUUUAGACAGGGAAGAAAAAAGACAGUACCUGUAGAAUAAGCUCCGGCUAACUACGUGUCAGCAGCCGCGGUAAUCUGAGCGGGCUGGCAAGGC